Molecule: long non-coding RNA, 1482 nt
Organism: Lagenorhynchus albirostris (white-beaked dolphin)
Lineage: Eukaryota; Metazoa; Chordata; Mammalia; Artiodactyla; Delphinidae
Exons: 3
Source: RefSeq, a predicted model, not a curated record
AGUUGGAAAGCGUGCCCGCAGCUGCGGAGGCAGCAGGGCAAUCUCUAUUGAUAUUUUAGCAUCAUGUUCUGCCUUGGAAGAGUGGCAAAGAUUUAGCCACAAGUGCUGACCCUGGACCAGGAUCCAGCUGAUGGAGAGCAGCAAGGGGGGUGAGCCUGACGAUCCUGAGUGAGCAUCUGCUUAAAGUGAGGCACUACGGAGACUAUUACUGCAAUUGUGGAAUCCAACCAGUUUAAGAGAGCAGCUUCGGACCCACUUCCAAACUCCAUCUUCCAGGUGAAGGGGAGGGGGGAAUAGGAGACGCAUGUGGUGAGGGGCAUUUUGAAGUUACACAGCCCGGGUCCCACCUCUCAUUAGCUCACUGCCGCUGGCAAGACACUUGCCUUCCCGAUGCCUCAGCUUCCCCACGUGUAAAACAGGGAUGAUGACGACACCUGCGCCUGUGUGAGCCUGUUUCCUCAUCGUGAAAUGUGGGGUAAUGAUAUCUAUUUCGUGGAGCGUGGUGAGGAGAAAGAGAUGUAAUGCAUGUGAAAGAAGUUGGCUGGGCCACAGCAACCCCUUACAAAAUGCUGCCUUUUCUAAUUUUAUCCUCUCUCCAGCUUCUGUGAUUGAGCCGUACUUGGAAGUAUUUGCCUCAUUUUACAGGCAAGGAAAUGAUGCUCAGAGAAGUUGGAGAGUUUGUCCAAGUCUCCUCUCUCUCUCAUACACACACUCUUCUCAAUCAGGGAAGCAAGGAUAAAAACCCCACCGUUUCUGCUUCCAGAUCAUCCCUGCAAGAAACAGCACCAAGACUCCAACCCAGUUCCAAACUUCAGCUCUGAAAUUUUGUGCAUCUAUCUAUAGCGAUGUCGGUCAGCACUAGGGGGACCCUCAUAAGGCAUUUUAAGACCUAUAAACAGGGCUUCCCUGGUGGCGCAGUGGUUGGGAGUCCGCCUGCCGAUGCAGGGGACACGGGUUCGUGCCCCGGUCCGGGAAGAUCCCACAUGCCGCAGAGUGGCUGGGCCCGUGAGCCAUGGCCGCUGAGCCUGCGCGUCCGGAGCCUGUGCUCUGCAACGGGAGAGGCCACAAUAAUGAGAGGCCCGCGUAGGAAAAAAAAAAAAAAGACCUAUAAACAAAUUGUGGAAAAAUCAUCUUUGUCUGGGACUAUUGAUCACCUUCUUUCUGCAACCCAAGCUAAGGAUUCUUACACAGUUUUUCUCAGGUCUUUGUUUUACAAACUAUCCCUUCAGCCUUAGUGCUAUUUGUCAUGUAGACUCUCAUAUGAGCCACAGAUAAGGAUGAUGAUGAUGGUGGUGAUGGUGAUGUUGAUGAUGAUGACGGUAGCUAAUUUUUUUUGUGUGUGUGGUGUAUGCGGGCCUCUCACUGUUGUGGCCUCCCCCGUUGCAGGGUGCAUUUUGGUGAUAAUUCCUGGGUUCAGAUCUGAGCUCCGCUGCUCCAAUUGCUGUGUGACCUUGGGCAAGUACCUUGAUGUCUCUGAGCCUC